RNAcentral lists this ribosomal RNA (1416 nucleotides) under uncultured Chroococcales cyanobacterium. RNAcentral describes it as "bacterial SSU rRNA". It matches the Rfam family "Bacterial small subunit ribosomal RNA". Lineage: Bacteria; Bacillati; Cyanobacteriota; Cyanophyceae; Chroococcales. The record is from RNAcentral.
GAUGAACGCUGGCGGCUCUGCUUAACACAUGCAAGUCGAACGAACCUUCGGGUUAGUGGCGGACGGGUGAGUAACGCGUGAGAAUCUGCCCUCAGGAGGGGGAUAACGGUUGGAAACGACCGCUAAUACCCCAUAUGCCGAGAGGUGAAAUGAAAUUCGCCUGAGGAUGAGCUCGCGUCUGAUUAGCUAGUUGGUGUGGUAAUGGCGCACCAAGGCUUCGAUCAGUAGCUGGUCUGAGAGGAUGAUCAGCCACACUGGGACUGAGACACGGCCCAGACUCCUACGGGAGGCAGCAGUGGGGAAUUUUCCGCAAUGGGCGAAAGCCUGACGGAGCAACGCCGCGUGAGGGAUGAAGGCCUCUGGGCUGUAAACCUCUUUUCUCAAGGAAGAAGAUCUGACGGUACUUGAGGAAUAAGCCACGGCUAAUUCCGUGCCAGCAGCCGCGGUAAUACGGGAGUGGCAAGCGUUAUCCGGAAUUAUUGGGCGUAAAGCGUCCGCAGGCGGCCUCGAAAGUCUGUCGUUAAAGCGUGGAGCUUAACUCCAUUUAAGCGGUGGAAACUACGAGGCUAGAGUGUGGUAGGGGCAGAGGGAAUUCCCGGUGUAGCGGUGAAAUGCGUAGAUAUCGGGAAGAACACCAGUGGCGAAGGCGCUCUGCUGGGCCAUAACUGACGCUCAUGGACGAAAGCCAGGGAGCGAAAGGGAUUAGAUACCCCUGUAGUCCUGGCCGUAAACGAUGAACACUAGGUGUCGGGGGAAUCGACCCCCUCGGUGUCGUAGCUAACGCGUUAAGUGUUCCGCCUGGGGAGUACGCACGCAAGUGUGAAACUCAAAGGAAUUGACGGGGGCCCGCACAAGCGGUGGAGUAUGUGGUUUAAUUCGAUGCAACGCGAAGAACCUUACCAGGGCUUGACAUCCUGCGAAUCCCUUGGAAACUAGGGAGUGCCUUCGGGAGCGCAGAGACAGGUGGUGCAUGGCUGUCGUCAGCUCGUGUCGUGAGAUGUUGGGUUAAGUCCCGCAACGAGCGCAACCCACGUCUUUAGUUGCCAGCAUUAAGUUGGGCACUCUAGAGAGACCGCCGGUGAUAAACCGGAGGAAGGUGUGGAUGACGUCAAGUCAUCAUGCCCCUUACGUCCUGGGCUACACACGUACUACAAUGCUACGGACAAAGGGCAGCAAACUCGCGAGAGCUAGCAAAUCCCAUAAACCGUGGCUCAGUUCAGAUCGUAGGCUGCAACUCGCCUACGUGAAGGAGGAAUCGCUAGUAAUCGCAGGUCAGCAUACUGCGGUGAAUACGUUCCCGGGCCUUGUACACACCGCCCGUCACACCAUGGAAGUUGGCCACGCCCGAAGUCGUUACUCCAACCCGUAAGGGAGGAGGAUGCCGAAGGUGGGGCUGGUGACUGGGGUGAAGUCGUA